RNAcentral lists this small nuclear RNA (134 nucleotides) under Otolemur garnettii (small-eared galago). RNAcentral's name for it is "U4 spliceosomal RNA (ENSOGAG00000022836.1)". It matches the Rfam family "U4 spliceosomal RNA". Rfam says of the family: U4 small nuclear RNA (U4 snRNA) is a component of the major U2-dependent spliceosome. The structure of U4 snRNA from yeast and human has been reported. Lineage: Eukaryota; Metazoa; Chordata; Mammalia; Primates; Galagidae. The record is from Rfam by way of RNAcentral.
GGCUCUGUGCAGUGGCAGUACAGGAGCCACUGGGGUUUAUCCGAGGAGCAAUUAUUGCUAAUUAAAAACUGUUCUCAUUACCCUGCCAUGACAGCUUGAAGUAUAGUCACCUUGACAAUAGUGUUUACAGAGAC